RNAcentral lists this small RNA (27 nucleotides) under Bombyx mori (domestic silkworm). RNAcentral's name for it is "ovarian small RNA-21909". Lineage: Eukaryota; Metazoa; Arthropoda; Insecta; Lepidoptera; Bombycidae. The record is from RNAcentral.
UAGACAUUAUUGGCUGAGGAACUAUAC